UCCCUGGAGGACUAGUGGUUAGGCCUCAGCGCUCUUGCUGCUGCGGCCCCGGGUUCAGUUCCCGGGCAGGGAA
Pangasianodon gigas (Mekong giant catfish) is the source of this 73-nucleotide non-coding RNA. The record is from the annotation of a GenBank genome assembly. Lineage: Eukaryota; Metazoa; Chordata; Actinopteri; Siluriformes; Pangasiidae.